GCGGUAAUACGAGGGGUGCAAGCGUUAAUCGGAAUUACUGGGCGUAAAGCGUACGCAGGCGGUUUGUUAAGCAAGAUGUGAAAGCCCCGGGCUCAACCUGGGAACAGCAUUUUGAACUGGCAAGCUAGAGUCUUGUAGAGGGGGGUAGAAUUUCAGGUGUAGCGGUGAAAUGCGUAGAGAUCUGAAGGAAUACCGGUGGCGAAGGCGGCCCCCUGGACAAAGACUGACGCUCAGGUACGAAAGCGUGGGGAGCAAACAGGAUUAGAUACCCUGGUAGUCCACGCCGUAAACGAUGUCUACUCGGAAUUUGGUGUCUUGAACACUGGGUUCUCAAGCUAACGCAUUAAGUAGACCGCCUGGGGAGUACGGCCGCAAGGUUAAAACUCAAAGGAAUUGACGG
RNAcentral lists this ribosomal RNA (400 nucleotides) under uncultured Shewanella sp. RNAcentral describes it as "bacterial SSU rRNA". It matches the Rfam family "Bacterial small subunit ribosomal RNA", at positions 517 to 916 of the family's 1533-position model. The record is from RNAcentral. Lineage: Bacteria; Pseudomonadati; Pseudomonadota; Gammaproteobacteria; Alteromonadales; Shewanellaceae.